Molecule: RNase P RNA, 329 nt
Filed under: Gammaproteobacteria bacterium
Lineage: Bacteria; Pseudomonadati; Pseudomonadota; Gammaproteobacteria
Description: RNase P RNA component class A
Rfam family: Bacterial RNase P class A
About the family: Ribonuclease P (RNase P) is a ubiquitous endoribonuclease, found in archaea, bacteria and eukarya as well as chloroplasts and mitochondria. Its best characterised activity is the generation of mature 5'-ends of tRNAs by cleaving the 5'-leader elements of precursor-tRNAs.
Source: RNAcentral
UGAGUCAGCCAGAUAAUCGCCCUUUACGAGAGGAAAGUCCGGGCUCCAUAGGACAAGACGCCAGGUAACUCCUGGGAGAUGUAAAUCUACGGAAAGUGCAACAGAAAAUAAACCGCCUAACUUAGGUAAGGGUGAAAAGGUAUGGUAAGAGCAUACCGCAUAUUAGGUAACUGAUAUGGCAAGGCAAACCCCGUCUGGAGCAAGACCAAAUAGAGGCCUUUUAGUUUGUCCUGACUUGGCCAGGGUAGGUUGCUUGAGUUUUACGGUGACGUAAAAUCUAGAUGAAUGAUUAUCCACGACAGAACCCGGCUUANAGGCUGACUCACUUC